Molecule: long non-coding RNA, 2318 nt
Filed under: Brassica napus (rape)
Lineage: Eukaryota; Viridiplantae; Streptophyta; Magnoliopsida; Brassicales; Brassicaceae
Description: long non-coding RNA (BNAP_LNC018121)
Source: RNAcentral
CCCAGGCUCGUGCGGACGGCGUCGGCGACGGCGCGGCCGGCGUUGAUGUUCGCGGAUCGGAUGUCUUCCUUGCGUUUGUUGUCGACGAAGGACUCCGACUUGGAUGCGCGGGGUCUCGAUGCCGUGGAUGCGGCCGCCAUUUUUGAGAGGUAUAGAUCUGAUAAGAGAGUGAAAAGGAAAGCCUAGAGGGAGCCAACGAGAGAGUUCUGGAAAUGGAAAGAGAGGAAAGGAGAUUUGAAAUUUUCUGUAGGGUUUACGCUGGCGUUUGGUUUCAUGAACCAAUCUAUUCCUCUUUAAAAUGGGCCUCUUCGGAUUUUGUAAGUAAAUCGUAUUUAGCCCAAAAGCCCAUUAUGGAUCUCCGAGUUUCCAAAAGUUUACGUUUACUAGAGCAUAUGAUUUUCUCACCCAUAGAUUCUAUAAAGAAAAAUUAUACGAGUUUUUCAAAUGCAAAACCUACUCUAUUUUCUUUCUUUAGUUUUUUCUCACGUUUUCUACAUCUUUUCAAUUGGUGACUUGGUGAGAGACUAUUUUAUAAAUUCACCAAUGAUGAUGAUAGUCAUAUGUAUCGUGUCAAUAAAUAUGGAAAAAACAUCAAACCAAUCCGAAGUGAAAUCUUGUUAACCAGCUUUUAAACCGGUCUUUUUCCAUUUCACCUGAAAGGGAAAGAUUUUUUGUUGUAGCUGUGUUCCAUUAUACAUGUUGAUGUGACCAUGUCACACUCACAUAGUCAUGGUCCAUAUGUUUAUGAAAAAGUGGUUUUAUGUAUGUAAAAUGACAAAUUAAGUUAACGUCCGUUGAACCGUGAAUUUCAAAAUUUAGUUAACUUUCGAUUUUCCAAAAUUUACAUUUACUCCUAUUAUGUAUCCAAUAUAAAAUCGAACCAAACCGAAGCAAAAUCUUGUUUGGAAAAUAGUUUUUUUGGGAUUUAUUGUAAUUAAUUUGUCGAACAUACUUUAAUUAGUGCAUUUGUUAUGACGAGUGUAUGAUUAUGAUUAGAGUAAUCCACGAAUUGAUAAAAAUGGUGGAACCAAGGUUUAAAUCGGAUCGACCAAAGAUGUGGCCGAUUGGUCGAUAUGGCCGGAUUAUGACUUGAUAACCUGAAACAAAGGGAAUUAAAUGAUAUGAGGUAUGAUAUGAAUGAAACAAGAACAAUAAACAAAAUAAAGGGAUAGAUAUGGCGGAAUCAAGCUGCUGAAUGUGUAUCACUCUCAGCUUGAUUAGAAGAUGAACUGAAGUGGAUUUGCGGAGGAAGGUUUGAUUGGAUCUCUCAAUCUGAUGGAAUGAUGGAUCGAAGUGAUUGACUCUCUCAAUCUGUGCACUGAGCUUGUUUGAUUUGCAGAAUCUUCUUAAUCAUCCCCAAGAUGUAGUUCCUCUCUUCUUUCAAGAUCCUAUCCAUCUGAGUGUAAUCAGAGACAACAAUACUCUGCUCGAUGUCAGUCUUCGGAGGCGAGAUCUGGAACUGAAUCACAGCGAUCUUAGCAUUCUCCAUCCUCGUAGGUCCACCAGCGGCGUGACUCACCUUCUUGUCAAACACCAAACCAUUCACAGUGUGUGUAUCGUCAACAGUCCCACCAAGCUUCUUAACAAUCUUGAUAUCACGCAAAUCAACAAUCUCCGGCUUCUCCGGAUCAAUCACGGAGAGAACCGCAUCUACAGCUAACGGAGCGAGCAGUGUGGAGUACUGGCUAACAACCUUACUGUUCAGCGACGUGCUCGCCGAUUUCACGAGAGAGUCUCUGUCAGUUAGCUCCACGGGUACAGCCAUGGCGGUUAAGAUAUCAACGGACUUAGCGCAAGACUUGUGAAGCGCAUCUGAGAUCACGGUAGGGUGGAUCCCGGAAGCUAAGAGUGAUUGGCACACUCUCAGCAAGGCUCCGGCUAGUACGACGACGGUGGUGGUCCCGUCUCCGGCGGCGGAGUCCUGAGAUUUGGAAAGCUCCACCAUCAUCUUCGCCGCCGGCUGGAGAACGUCCAUUUUGUUGAGGAUCGUGGCUCCGUCGUUGGUGAUGAUGACCUCGCCGCUCGCGGUGGAGAUCAUCUUGUCCAUCCCCUUGGGGCCCAGGCUCGUGCGGACGGCGUCGGCGACGGCGCGGCCGGCGUUGAUGUUCGCGGAUCGGAUGUCUUCCUUGCGUUUGUUGUCGACGAAGGACUCCGACUUGGAUGCGCGGGGUCUCGAUGCCGUGGAUGCGGCCGCCAUUUUUGAGAGGUAUAGAUCUGAUAAGAGAGUGAAAAGGAAAGCCUAGAGGGAGCCAACGAGAGAGUUCUGGAAAUGGAAAGAGAGGAAAGGAGAUUUGAAAUUUUCUGUAGGGUUUACGCUG